GGGCGAUUAGCUCAGCUGGCUAGAGCGCUGCUUUCACACGGCAGAGGUCGAGGGUUCGAGUCCCCCAUCGCCCACCA
RNAcentral lists this transfer RNA (77 nucleotides) under Lentisphaerota bacterium. RNAcentral describes it as "Lentisphaerae bacterium tRNA-Val". It matches the Rfam family "tRNA". Rfam says of the family: Transfer RNA (tRNA) molecules are approximately 80 nucleotides in length. Their secondary structure includes four short double-helical elements and three loops (D, anti-codon, and T loops). Lineage: Bacteria; Pseudomonadati; Lentisphaerota. The record is from RNAcentral. RNAcentral also lists the same sequence under 1 other name.